Haplochromis burtoni (Burton's mouthbrooder) is the source of this 2246-nucleotide long non-coding RNA. RefSeq annotates it as guanine nucleotide exchange factor DBS. Lineage: Eukaryota; Metazoa; Chordata; Actinopteri; Cichliformes; Cichlidae. The record is from RefSeq and is a predicted model, not a curated record.
CUCUGUGAAGAGCGGAGAUGUAGUGCAUCUGGUCAAGGAGGGGGACGAUGGACAGUGGCUUGUGCGUAACUUAAACACAUCUAAGGAGGGUUGGAUUCCUGCUGCUAAUCUUAUCAACCUCAUUGGAAAAUCAAAGUCUUGUCAGUCUCUCACCAGCUCAGAAGGCAGUGGCUCUGGGAACCUCAGCACAUCAUCUAGCUGCAGUGAGACCUACACAAGCUUCUCUGAUAUCAAACCCUGAAAAUACUCUGCACUUUCUUCAUCAUCAAACUGCCAUCAUUCCUACAUCAUGUGGCUAUCUGUACCGUUUUGCCAGCAUAUGUAAUCAUGAAUUUUGUCAAUUUUCCACAGAAAACAGAAGUUACAAAGGUAACUAUAGUUUUAUGAAUUCUAGGAUCACUGCCGGUGGCAGUAAACAAAAUGUCUCCUCAUAGUCUGCACGUGUUGAAAUCUUAUAUAAACAAAAUCAUAUGCAUGAUGUGUAGGCUACCUGUGCAUAUGCACUAUAAAUAACUUGGUAGGCUACAUAUGAGCUCUAUGAAACUUCUCAUGCUGAAAUUUUCCAAGUGACCAGCAUGACUGGCAAUCAUCUUGGGUUUCACAGAACCACAGUCAUCAAACUUCUGUACUGUUUUACUUCUUCCUUACUGCCAGUGGCAGUAAACAAAGUGGAUGACUUAAAGCAGCAUCAAGAGGAACAGACAACUUCUAGUCAACCAGUGGCUGGUAACGUGAAUCCACAGGCUGACAGAACCUCACAAAUGUACAGGGUGUUCCCCAAGAUGCCGCUACACAGAUUACACAGAUGGGACACCCCACAUUGCUCUCCAGGAGGUGGCCGCACCCCUGGUUGAGUGACAGACGACACCUGAAGAAUGCAGGCACACCUGCUAUUCCAUAUGCCUGUUUCAUCAUGUUUACAGCUCAGUGGGAAUGCCCCAGUAUGAACACAUCUUUUCUCUUGUUCUUUUCAUUAUAAGAAAUCAAAGACAGGUCCCAUGUUGCAGUGCCCCCCCAUGUCCCAAUGUUCAAGGUCCUAGCACACCUGCCAUAAUAGGAAAAGACCAGCAGAGCUUCAGCUCUUCCAAAAAGCUCUUCUUCUGAGUUGCCAAUAGCAAAUACAAACCAGCCACACCUUUAAGAGGGCAAAGACUGCACUCUGACAAUGACAGUCUGAAUGACAACCUCCUACCCCUUACUCCAAGGGAUGCUUACCUCCUGAACAUAGAUUAUAGAUCAUUAAUUAUCAACCUAAAGAACAAUUAACCAAGAAAAAACACCGGGCUGACAGCAUGAAAAUCAACGGGGGUGGGCGACCAGGGGGUAUUUCCAUCACAUUUUAGCAUAUAGGAUCUCACCCUGUGUGGCAUAUGAGGAGACAUAUUUGCUGUGUUUUCCUGCCAUUGGCAGUCAUGAGUUAAUGAAACAAAACUGCAUUUUUAUUUAAUUUUUCUAACCUCUCACAUACACUGCACAUUCAGAAUGUUAUACAUUUACUGUGAAGGAACAAAACACAUGCAUAUGGUAAUUUCACUGUAUAGAUCUGUCAUGGAGACAGAAGAUCCACGUGCUGAUAAUGUAAUAGAUGUAUGAAUGGGCCAGCAGGACUGAUCUCAGCAAAUGCAUCUAUUUAUGCUCACACUAAAAGCGGGGAGAGGUUAGUGGACAACAGCUGUCUUUGUGUUCACAUGCACUAAUUUCUUCAGGAGUUCAUAUUUUAACUCUGAAUGAGAAAGAGGGCAAUGUCCACUUUCUUUAGCUUGAAUGAAUUUUUCCUGAGAGCCAACUCUCUGUCCACUUUUUAAAAAAAAAAAAAGUUUAUUUAUUUGUAUGAAGCACCCACAGAUAUUCAUCCACUCUUUAAUUUUAUUGUUGUCUGUAAACUCUCCUCCUGUCUGCUGUCAGUCUGUCAUUAGAAACCUGUUCUGUCACCAGCUCUCCAGAGUUUGUGUGUGUGAGCUUUUGUCCUUUUGCUUUUGUCUCUGAUAGCCUGGUCAAACUCUUUGUGCAUUUUCAUAUAUGCUACAGUUUUACAAAUGUAUCCAUGUGAAUAAUGGGAGAUCACUGUAUAGGCUAACUUAUUCCCAGCAGAGGGAAAAUGUUUGGAAUGUAGAUAUUGUUUAUUAAUAUGUGUCUGUCAUGUUUGUUAAAGGAGAUGCUAUAUUGUACAUUAAGUAUGGUGAUGUCACUGCUUUGUGACUUGUCCAGUUUUGUUUUUUUUUACAUAAAUGACUUGUGACAAUUCA